This 253-nucleotide ribosomal RNA is filed under the name uncultured bacterium. RNAcentral describes it as "partial 16S ribosomal RNA". It matches the Rfam family "Bacterial small subunit ribosomal RNA", at positions 524 to 776 of the family's 1533-position model. The record is from RNAcentral.
UACAUGGGGUGCAAACGUUGCUCGGAAUUAUUGGGCGUAAAGCGCGCGUAGGCGGUUGCUUAAGUCGGAUGUGAAAGCCCUCGGCUUAACCGGGGAAGUGCACCCGAAACUGAGCAGCUUGAGUACGAAAGAGGGUCGCGGAAUUCCCAGUGUAGAGGUGAAAUUCGUAGAUAUCGGGAGGAACACCGGUGGCGAAGGCGGCGACCUGGGUCGAGACUGACGCUGAGGCGCGAAAGCGUGGGGAGCAAACAGG